UACGGAAGGCAGCAGUGGGGAAUAUUGCACAAUGGGCGCAAGCCUGAUGCAGCCAUGCCGCGUGUAUGAAAAAGGCCUUCGGGUUGUAAAGUACUUUCAGUCGUGAGGAAGGUGUUAAGGUUAAUAACCUUAGCAAUUGACGUUAGCGACAGAAGAAGCACCGGCUAACUCCGUGCCAGCAGCCGCGGUAAUACGGAGGGUGCGAGCGUUAAUCGGAAUUACUGGGCGUAAAGGGCACGCAGGCGGUUAAUUAAGUUGGAUGUGAAAUCCCCGGGCUUAACCUGGGAAUGGCAUUCAAGACUGGUUAGCUAGAGUCUUGUAGAGGGGGUAGAAUUCCAUGUGUAGCGGUGAAAUGCGUAGAGAUGUGGAGGAAUACCGGUGGCGAAGGCGGGCCCCUGGGACAAAGGACUGACGCUCAUGUGCGAAAGCGUGGGGAGCAAACAGGGAUUAGAUACC
Molecule: ribosomal RNA, 456 nt
Filed under: uncultured bacterium
Lineage: Bacteria
Description: bacterial SSU rRNA
Rfam family: Bacterial small subunit ribosomal RNA
Source: RNAcentral